This 533-nucleotide ribosomal RNA is filed under the name Gambierdiscus australes. RNAcentral describes it as "partial Bacterial large subunit ribosomal RNA". It matches the Rfam family "Bacterial large subunit ribosomal RNA", at positions 1965 to 2496 of the family's 2925-position model. The record is from RNAcentral. Lineage: Eukaryota; Dinophyceae; Gonyaulacales; Pyrocystaceae.
UUCCUUGUCGGGUAAGUUCCGACCCGCACGAAUAGCGUAACGACAGCCAUACUGUCUCCACGAAGGACUCGGCGAAAUUGUGGUCGUGGUGAAGACGCCACGUUCCCGCACCAAGACGGAAAGACCCCGUGAACCUUUACUAUAACCUAAUACUGGCUCUAGGUUUGUCAUGUGUAGCAUAGGUGGGAGACGUUGAUGUCGGCGGCGCCAGCCGUCGAAUAGUCACCGGUGAAAUACCACUCUUGGCAUAUUUGGAGUCUAACCUGUGACCGUUAUCCGGCAUGGGAACAGUGUUAGGCGGGUAGUUUGACUGGGGCGGUCUCCUCCUAAAGAGUAGCGGAGGAGUGCAAAGGUACACUCAGAGCGGUUGGUAAUCGCUUGUAGAGCGUAAAGGUAUAAGUGUGCUUGACUGCGAGACAUAUAGGUCGAGCAGGUACGAAAGUAGGUCUUAGUGAUCCGGUGGUCCCGUGUGGAAGGGCCAUCGCUCAUCAGAUAAAAGGUACUCCGGGGAUAACAGGCUGAUCACGCCCAAG